UCUACGGGGUGCAGCAGUGAGGAAUAUUGGUCAAUGGGCGGAAGCCUGAACCAGCCAAGUAGCGUGCAGGAUGACGGCCCUACGGGUUGUAAACUGCUUUUAUACGGGAAUAACGCGCCUUACGUGUAGGGCUUUGCAUGUACCGUAUGAAUAAGGACCGGCUAAUUCCGUGCCAGCAGCCGCGGUAAUACGGAAGGUCCGGGCGUUAUCCGGAUUUAUUGGGUUUAAAGGGAGCGUAGGCCGCAUGUCAAGCGUGCUGUGAAAUGUCCGGGCUCAACCCGGGCCUUGCAGCGCGAACUGGCGGGCUUGAGUCCGCGGAAAGCAGGCGGAAUUCGUGGUGUAGAGGUGAAAUGCUUAGAUAUGACGAAGAACCCCGAUUGCGAAGGCAGCUUGCUGCAGCGGAACUGACGCUGAUGCUCGAAAGCGCGGGUAUCGAACAGGAUUAGAUACCCGGGUAGUC
RNAcentral lists this ribosomal RNA (460 nucleotides) under uncultured bacterium. RNAcentral's name for it is "partial 16S ribosomal RNA". It matches the Rfam family "Bacterial small subunit ribosomal RNA", at positions 338 to 795 of the family's 1533-position model. The record is from RNAcentral.